UUCAUCGUGAUGGGGAUAGAUCNNUGCAAUUGUUGGUCUUCAACGAGGAAUGCCUAGUAAGCGCGAGUCAUCAGCUCGCGUUGACUACGUCCCUGCCCUUUGUACACACCGCCCGUCGCUCCUACCGAUUGAAUGGUCCGGUGAAGUGUUCGGAUCGCGGCGACGGGGGCGGUUCGCCGCCCCCGACGUCGCGAGAAGUCCAUUGAACCUUAUCAUUUAGAGGAAGGAGAAGUCGUAACAAGGUUUCCGUAGGUGAACCUGCGGAAGGAUCAUUG
Molecule: ribosomal RNA, 275 nt
Filed under: Sphenopholis pensylvanica
Lineage: Eukaryota; Viridiplantae; Streptophyta; Magnoliopsida; Poales; Poaceae
Description: partial 18S ribosomal RNA
Rfam family: Eukaryotic small subunit ribosomal RNA
Source: RNAcentral